GACGAACGCUGGCGGCGUGCCUAACACAUGCAAGUCGAACGGGACUUAGCGGAAUGCGGCUUCGGCCAAAGGAAACUAAGUUUAGUGGCGAACGGGUGAGUAACGCGUGAGGAACCUGCCUUUCAGUGGGGGACAACAGUUGGAAACGACUGCUAAUACCGCAUAACAUAUCGGGAUCGCAUGAUUCUGAUAUCAAAGCUUUAUGUGCUGAAAGAUGGCCUCGCGUCUGAUUAGCUAGUUGGUGGGGUAACGGCUCACCAAGGCGACGAUCAGUAGCCGGUCUGAGAGGAUGAACGGCCACAUUGGGACUGAGAUACGGCCCAGACUCCUACGGGAGGCAGCAGUGGGGAAUAUUGGGCAAUGGGGGGAAACCCUGGCCCAGCAACGCCGCGUGAAGGAAGAAGGCCUUCGGUUGUAAACGUUCUUUACUAGGACGAAGUAAAUAGACGGUACC
This 454-nucleotide ribosomal RNA is filed under the name uncultured bacterium. RNAcentral's name for it is "bacterial SSU rRNA". It matches the Rfam family "Bacterial small subunit ribosomal RNA", at positions 28 to 479 of the family's 1533-position model. The record is from RNAcentral.